RNAcentral lists this long non-coding RNA (1539 nucleotides) under Triticum aestivum (bread wheat). Its description in RNAcentral is "long non-coding RNA (TAES_LNC025533)". The record is from RNAcentral. Lineage: Eukaryota; Viridiplantae; Streptophyta; Magnoliopsida; Poales; Poaceae.
GUCCACAUAGAUUAAAUUAUUUUGAUCAUUUAUUUUAUCUUUUAACGGCUGAGAUUAAAAUAUGGAAACGUUACGUAAAAAUAUGUGUACAUGUACAAGUAGUAAAACUUGCCACGUACAAACAACGCACAUAGGUUCCAUCCGAACGUCAACUAGCCCGCAGAAACAGAAAAAAUAUAUUUCAAUCAAUGGGUUAAGGAAUAAAAAAUAAUAGGAAACCUAAACAAAUAAGGACAACGAUUGGACCUAACCAGACCUCACAUGAGAAACUUCCAAAACAGGAACCAUGACACGAAAAAAGACCGAUCUGCUUUCUCCACGGUCACAACCACCUGAACCCACACACCUCCACCCAUAUAUAAAUGAGUACAGCCAGCCGCAGAAGCACACACCCAAAGAAUUAGAAGUCAGCAAAGACGUCACACGCGACUAGGCAACUCGACGUCGACACGAAAAGCCACCUCAGCCACCUCCAGCCGCUUCACUUGACGUCCGAUGAAGUCACGCCAAAGCACGCUCAACGCAUGACGAAGCCACGCCCAGCUACUCCAAUCGACAUCGGACGAAGGGACGCCAAAGCACUUUUGGCCUGAAUCAUCAGAUAAUUUAGUAAUUGUUAUUAACAGUCUUAUUUUCUCUAGAUAUAAUCUUUAUAAAUAUUGUAUCAAUUGAAAAAUUGUUCCCUAUUAAUAUUCAAGGCAAAACACUAUGGCAUGUAACAAGUUGAGCGACUUAAAUACAAGGGGACAUCACUGGAACAUUCAAGUAAAACAAAUGUGAAUAUGGGAUUCAUUCAAUCCUACCACCGAUGAGCUUAUUAGCCUAGAUAUGAUACACGUGCAAAGUAACAUUACAAAUCGACCAAAUAAUCGGUGCGGAGAUCCCAGACAAAGAUGACGAUCCGGACGGAUAUGAAACUGUGGAAAAUUUCAUGAUGCACGGGCCUUGCAGAGUGUCAAAUACAAAAUCAUCAUGCAUGAUUGACAACAGACGCACUAAGCACUUCCCAAAAGGAUACAAUGUCGAUACCACAAACGAUGAGGAUGGCUUUCCAGUAUAUAGAAGGCGAUACAAUGGAAGGAAAAUCAAAAAGGGAGGAGCAAUGCUCAACGAUAGAUUUGUCGUACCCUACAACCGAAACCUUUUGGCCAAUUCCAAGCUCACAUAAAUGUCAAGUGGUGCCACAGGCCAAGGUCAAUCAAGUACCUACCUAUUUAAGAACAUCCAUAAAGAUGACGACCAGGUAACAACCUUGCUAAAGGGAAGAGAUGCGGCAAAUGACUAUGAUGACAUCAAGAAAUACCUAGAGAUGAGAUACAUAUCAACAACUGAAGCAUGCUGGCAAACAUUCCUGUUUGAUAUACACCAUCAUGAUCCACCAGUCGAGAGACUACCAUUCCACAUUAAAAAUGAGCAAGAACUUAUUUUUCCGGACUCGACUGACAUAGAGAAGAUAGUAAGAAGGCCAGGAUCCACGAGUACUAAGUUCACUGAGUGGAUGGAGGCAAACAAAAUACAUGAGGCGGGAAAAGAAUUAAC